This 66-nucleotide transfer RNA is filed under the name Panesthia angustipennis cognata. RNAcentral describes it as "tRNA-Pro". The record is from RNAcentral. Lineage: Eukaryota; Metazoa; Arthropoda; Insecta; Blattodea; Blaberidae.
CAGGGAAUAGUUUAAUUAAAAUAUUAAUUUUGGAAAUUAAUGAAAAAGUAUCUUCUUUUUCUCUGA